Molecule: ribosomal RNA, 456 nt
Filed under: Meta sp. GH47
Lineage: Eukaryota; Metazoa; Arthropoda; Arachnida; Araneae; Tetragnathidae
Description: partial 16S ribosomal RNA
Rfam family: Bacterial large subunit ribosomal RNA
Source: RNAcentral
UGUUUAAAGCAUUAAUUUUAAAUAAAACCUGCUCAAUGUGGUAUUAAAUUACCAUAAAUAGCCGCAGAAUAUUAACUGUGCUAAGGUAGCAUAAUCAUUUGCCUAUUAAUUGUAGACUAGAAUGAAAGGUAAAACAGUUUAUUUACUUUUUUAAUUCUAAUUAAAUAAAAAUUAUACUAAAUAUAAAAAUAUAUUUAUUAACUAAUUAGACGACAAGACCCUAUCGAACUUUACUUAAGUUGAGCUGGGGCAGCUAAUUAAUUAAAAUUUUAAUUAAAUUUGUACAAAUAAUGAUCCAGUCCAACUGAUAAUUUGAUUAAGUUACCGUAGGGAUAACAGCGUAAUUUAUUUUUAAAGUUCUUAUUUAAAAAUAAGAUUGCGACCUCGAUGUUGAAUAAUUUUCUUUUGUGAGCAAAAUCACAAACAGUAGGUCUGUUCGACCUUUAAAAUUUUACA